Long non-coding RNA from Bubalus bubalis (water buffalo), 1718 nucleotides. RefSeq lists it as uncharacterized. The record is from RefSeq and is a predicted model, not a curated record. The transcript is spliced from 2 exons. NCBI's taxonomy places the organism in Eukaryota, Metazoa, Chordata, Mammalia, Artiodactyla, Bovidae.
CCACACAGGGGUUGCACCCAGGGCCUUGCUUGGCACUUUCAGAGUUUAUAGCCUCUGGACUAGAAAAGGACUGACCCAUUUCAUUUGAUGAGGUCAGUAGGAAAUUAAAGUAAUUAGUGGGAAAAGGACUGGACUGGGUGUCAGAAGACCUGGGUUGACUUCCAGCUGGGCCAUUGCUUAGCCAUGUGACCUUGAGCAAGGAACUUAAUCCCGGCAGACCCAAGUUUUUUUUUUCAGUUGAGAAAUGAGGUUUUGAUAAAAGUGAUCUGGGGAAUAAACCUGAGCCAAGUGAUCGAUUUUGUGUGUACGUGGGUGGCUGUGCCUCUGCAGCUAUGUGUAUACGUGUAAAGUAUGAAAAGAUCAAUCCAAGGAGAAAUGGAUUUGAGCAACCACAGCACAAACAUUCAGAAGUGGAAGUGAGCAGCCAGGAUGGUGAGAAGAUUGAUUUGGAUGAUUCAGAAACAGACCUCUGCUCCUCGGGAUCUGACAGUUCACAGUGAAUUGGGACAAUAAUACUAUACGAGACACAGCAGAGACCAACGCCCCAGGAGCCCCAGGGAACGGACUACGACCGAGGGAGAACACCCCAGAAUUCAUCUCAGGGAAAAUGUCUUUGAACCUACCUGAACUUGAGCUCUUCCGACACCGGUGGCUGAAAGAAAACACACUUCACGCUCUCCUCCUUGGUCUAAUUUCAGCGAUUAUUCCUUCCCAUCUUGCGCAGCUGCCAUGAGACUGAUUUUAGUUCCUGGGGAUUAAACAGUUUCUGAAGGUUGUUAUCACUCCCCUUCAGUGGAGCAUAUCUUCAAACACCUUCCUGGAUAAUUACCAUGGCCCAGUGAUUGGGCAAUCACCAGAGUGAUUUUAAACACACACACAGAGACACACACAGACACACACACAUUCUUCUCCAGCGUGUUCCUUUGUGUUUGUUUUGGUUUUGCAUUUUCAAAGCCCAGCGGUUCGUGAGAGACAGUAGAAGGACAAAAUAAAAAGACAUAUGGUAGUGCUUAAAUUAUUCCCCAAAAGGGAAAGUGUCCAACAUGAAAUUAUUCAGUCUUUCUACCAUUCUAGGGUGGGGAGGGAGGCAUUUCAACCAAGAAAAUCAUAGAAUAUCCACAAUACCCAGAGGAGGACUGAAUUAUAUUAUCAACUUCCAAAUACAGUCAGCAAUAUUUCACCAGAAAAGCUGCUUUGCAAAAAUUAAACCUCUAAUGUUUACACUGGGAAAUACCUCCAGUCCUUCUCUGCUGUCUUCCCUAGUCCCCCUGUAUACACACACACACACAUACACACACACACACACACACACACACACAAAAUAUCUUUCUCUCCCCAGGAUUGUCUUUGUUUUGUUCACCCCUUUUAUCCUAACAUGUAGGUAUGUGAUUCUGUAGUGAGAUGCCCAAAUGUCUUCCAAAGGAAAGAUUACACAGAGUAGAAUUUUGUCUCUUAUUUUUCAAAAUGUUUUAAGAUCCUAUAAACUCAUCUGAUACAAGCCUAUGGAAAAAGACAGCCAGAAGGAAAUCAAUGAGACAAUUCCGUGAGAUCUUUUUUCAUCCAAAUUGAUAACUAGGGAAGGAGGUGGAGGUUGGGUUUCAGCUUCCUGUUCCUUACUCAGUUUAUGCGGCUUCAAUCCAUUCUACCCAGGCUUAGGCAUGUUACAUAAAGGUUUUAUGAAAUGAGAUAAAUCUUGAGAAAGACUUUUAAAUUUAAAU